Molecule: ribosomal RNA, 497 nt
Filed under: uncultured bacterium
Lineage: Bacteria
Description: partial 16S ribosomal RNA
Rfam family: Bacterial small subunit ribosomal RNA
Source: RNAcentral
GAUGAACGCUGGCGGCGUGCCUAAUACAUGCAAGUCGAGCGAACAGACGAGGAGCUUGCUCCUCUGACGUUAGCGGCGGACGGGUGAGUAACACGUGGAUAACCUACCUAUAAGACUGGGAUAACUUCGGGAAACCGGAGCUAAUACCGGAUAAUAUAUUGAACCGCAUGGUUCAAUAGUGAAAGACGGUUUUGCUGUCACUUAUAGAUGGAUCCGCGCCGCAUUAGCUAGUUGGUAAGGUAACGGCUUACCAAGGCGACGAUGCGUAGCCGACCUGAGAGGGUGAUCGGCCACACUGGAACUGAGACACGGUCCAGACUCCUACGGGAGGCAGCAGUAGGGAAUCUUGCGCAAUGGGCGAAAGCUUGACGGAGCAACGCCGCGUGAGUGAUGAAGGUCUUCGGAUCGUAAAACUCUGUUAUUAGGGAAGAACAAAUGUGUAAGUAAAUAUGCACGUCUUGACGGUACCUAAUCAGAAAGCCACGGCUAACUACGUG